UACGAAGGGGGCAUAGCGUUGUUCGGAAUUGACUAGGGCGUAAAGCGCGCGCAGGCGGUCUUCCAAGUCAGUGGUAGAAAGCCUGGGAGCUCAAACCUCCCAGAACUGCCAUUGAAACUGUUAGACUUGAGUACGAGAGGAGGUGAGUCGGAAUUCCCAGUGUAGAGGUGAAAUUCGUAGAUAUUGGGAAGAACACCAGUGGCGAAGGCGGCUAUCUGGACCGUAACUGACGCUGAGGCGCGAAAGCGUGGGGAGCAAACAGG
Molecule: ribosomal RNA, 263 nt
Filed under: uncultured bacterium
Lineage: Bacteria
Description: partial 16S ribosomal RNA
Rfam family: Bacterial small subunit ribosomal RNA
Source: RNAcentral